This 64-nucleotide transfer RNA is filed under the name Dipodomys ordii (Ord's kangaroo rat). It matches the Rfam family "tRNA". Rfam says of the family: Transfer RNA (tRNA) molecules are approximately 80 nucleotides in length. Lineage: Eukaryota; Metazoa; Chordata; Mammalia; Rodentia; Heteromyidae. The record is from Rfam by way of RNAcentral.
GGGGGCUCAGUGGUAGAGCACUUGCCUUGCAUGCAUGAGGUCUGGGUUCAAUUCCUCAGCACCA